GCGUGAGGAGACUCGGCGGCCAGAGCCGUCACCCCGGGCGGGGACGCUGCGCAGGCGACUACGCGCGGCGGCCCGGCCGAGGGAGGGAGCGAGCGGGCGGGCGGCGGCGGCUGGCGCCCGAGGGGCCGAGCGAGCUCCUUAGAGAUGACCAGCUUUCAACGAGGAUGAACAGAUGACCUGGUUUUAUCAGAAAUUGCUUUCACGUUGCCAUGCCUUUCACAAAAGCCAGUCUUCACCGUCUCUGUCUGAUUUUGUUGAGAUUGAAACCAUGGCUGUGUGGAUACAAGCCCAGCAACUCCAAGGUGAUGCUCUUCAUCAGAUGCAAGCAUUGUAUGGUCAGCAUUUCCCCAUUGAGGUGCGACAUUAUUUAUCCCAGUGGAUCGAAAGCCAAGCUUGGGACUCAAUAGAUCUUGAUAAUCCACAGGAGAACAUUAAGGCCACCCAGCUCCUGGAGGGCCUGGUGCAGGAGCUGCAGAAGAAGGCGGAGCACCAAGUCGGGGAAGAUGGGUUCUUACUGAAGAUCAAGCUGGGGCACUAUGCCACGCAGCUCCAGAACACGUAUGACCGCUGUCCCAUGGAGCUGGUCCGCUGCAUCCGACAUAUUCUGUACAAUGAACAGAGGCUGGUGCGAGAAGCCAACAAUGGUACUUCUCCAGUUGGAAGUCUUGUUGACACCAUGUCCCAGAAACACCUCCAGAUCAACCAGACGUUUGAGGAGCUGCGACUGGUCACACAGGACACAGAGAACGAACUGAAGAAGCUUCAGCAGACUCAAGAGUAUUUUAUCAUCCAAUAUCAGGAGAGCCUGAGGAUCCAGGCUCAGUUUGGCGGGCUGGCCCAGCUGAGUCCCCAGGAGCGGCUGAGCCGGGAGACGGCCCUGCAGCAGAAGCAGGUGUCCCUGGAGGCCUGGCUGCAGCGCGAGGCCCAGACACUGCAGCAGUACCGCGUGGAGCUGGCCGAGAAGCACCAGAAGACCCUGCAGCUGCUGCGGAAGCAGCAGACCAUCAUUCUGGACGACGAGCUGAUCCAGUGGAAGCGGCGGCAGCAGCUGGCCGGGAACGGAGGGCCCCCCGAGGGCAGCCUGGACGUGCUGCAGUCCUGGUGUGAGAAGUUGGCCGAGAUCAUCUGGCAGAACCGGCAGCAGAUCCGCAGGGCUGAGCACCUCUGUCAGCAGCUGCCCAUCCCCGGCCCAGUGGAAGAGAUGCUGGCUGAGGUCAAUGCCACCAUCACAGACAUCAUCUCAGCCCUGGUGACCAGUACCUUCAUCAUUGAGAAGCAGCCCCCUCAGGUCCUGAAGACCCAGACCAAGUUUGCAGCGACGGUGCGCCUGCUGGUGGGUGGGAAGCUGAACGUGCACAUGAACCCCCCCCAGGUGAAGGCCACCAUCAUCAGCGAGCAGCAGGCCAAGUCGCUGCUCAAGAACGAGAACACCCGCAAUGACUACAGUGGCGAAAUCCUGAACAACUGCUGUGUGAUGGAGUAUCACCAGGCCACCUGCACCCUCAGCGCGCACUUCCGGAACAUGUCCCUGAAACGAAUUAAGAGGUCAGACCGUCGUGGAGCAGAGUCAGUGACAGAAGAAAAAUUUACAAUCCUGUUUGAAUCACAGUUCAGUGUUGGUGGAAAUGAGCUGGUUUUUCAAGUCAAGACCCUGUCCCUCCCGGUGGUGGUGAUCGUCCAUGGUAGCCAGGACAACAAUGCGACGGCCACCGUUCUCUGGGACAAUGCUUUUGCAGAGCCUGGCAGGGUGCCCUUCGCCGUGCCCGACAAAGUGCUGUGGCCGCAGCUGUGUGAGGCGCUCAACAUGAAAUUCAAGGCCGAAGUGCAGAGCAACCGGGGCCUGACCAAGGAGAACCUCGUGUUCUUGGCUCAGAAGCUGUUCAACAACAGCAGUGGCCACCUUGAAGACUAUAAUGGCAUGUCCGUGUCCUGGUCCCAGUUCAACAGGGAGAAUUUACCAGGACGAAAUUACACGUUCUGGCAGUGGUUCGAUGGUGUGAUGGAAGUGUUAAAAAAACAUCUCAAGCCUCAUUGGAAUGAUGGGGCUAUUUUGGGUUUCGUGAACAAGCAACAGGCCCAUGACCUACUCAUUAACAAGCCUGAUGGGACCUUCCUGCUGAGAUUCAGCGACUCUGAAAUUGGCGGCAUCACCAUUGCUUGGAAGUUUGAUUCUCAGGAAAGAAUGUUUUGGAACCUGAUGCCUUUUACCACCAGAGAUUUCUCCAUCCGAUCCCUGGCCGAUCGCUUGGGGGACCUGAAUUACCUUAUCUACGUGUUUCCUGAUCGGCCAAAAGAUGAAGUGUACUCCAAAUAUUACACACCAGUUCCAUGCGAGCCUGCCACUGGUAACAAUCUAAAGCAGUGGACGGAUACGUGAAGCCACAGAUCAAGCAAGUGGUCCCUGAGUUUGUGAGUGCGUCUGCAGACUCUGCCGGGGCCGGCGCCACCUACAUGGACCAGGCCCCUUCCCCAGCCGUGUGCCCCCAGGCUCAUUAUAACAUGUAUCCUCAGAACCCUGACCCUGUCCUUGACAACGAUGGGGACUUUGAUCUGGACGACACCAUGGAUGUGGCACGCCGUGUGGAGGAGCUCCUAGGCCGACCUAUGGACAGUCAGUGGAUCCCUCACGCGCAGUCGUGACCCCCCGUUCUCCAUCUUCAGCUUCUUCAUCCUCGCCAGAGGAGUUACUCUUGUGGAUGUUUUAAUUCCAUGAAUCGCUUCUCUUUGGAAACAAUAGUCAUAAUGUGAAGUGUUAAUACUAGUUGUGACUUUAGUGUUUCUGUGCAUGGUGGCACCAGUGAAGGGAGUGUGUGUGAGUGUGUGUGUGUGUGUGAGUGUGUGUGUGUGAGUGCGCGCGCGCACGCGAGUGUGUGAGUUUACACAUUGGGCUGUUUCUCCCCCUUGCUGUGCAGAGUUUAGUCGCAGCAUUGGAGCCACAAACAGAGGCUGUGGUUGUUUUAACCUUGUGAAAAAAGGCAGUAGUUCCGUGAACCCUGGAACUUGGCCAUGUGUCUGUUCAAGUAAGAGAAGGACAAAGGGAGGAGAAAGCACCUCCGCUCCGUGAGAUUUGUCACUGUGUCUGCCAAGCAAUUGAUAUAUAACCGUGACUGUCUCUGCUUUCCUUUGAAUUGUAGAAACUGCCUUUUGAAAAAGAAAGCCGUCCUCCCACCUUCCCUCUCCCCCGCCCCUGUUUUCCUGGAUAGGGAUGGGUAAAGGGGGAAUAUCUGGUGAUUGUUGGGACAAGGGAAGUCGUGGGUUGUCCGAUGGGUAGUGGCUUUUUAAAUAACCCUUAACCCAUCUAACCCAUCUGCGUGUCCUCUCCCGCCCCCCUCCUUCCUUCCACUCCGUGGAAUUGCCACUCAGCUCUCCGUGUGUAAGCGCGUGCAGACACGUGUGAUGAACCGGAGAAGAGGGUCACAUACCCACAGCUUACUGUGUUGAUGUCCUUUCUAUCACGGCCAGAGUGGAAGGCCCAGCCGAGACCCAUGGGUGCUAAGGAAGUUGCCUUGCUCCCUGGGGCACCUGCCCUCCGGGCUGCCCAUCCUUCUGCUCAAGUGCGGCUACCCCACGGCUCAUUGAUGAUGGCUGUUUGCACAUGGUGGUGUUUUGUUUCUAAAUUGAGACUUCUUGUUUUCCUCUUCCCACCCUCAUCUGAUAUCACAGUUCUUUCUUCCUGUGGCAGGUCCUGUGUCGUUCAUACCCAAGUCACCUCGCUUCCCUUCACUGUUCACACAGGCUGUCUUGGGGAGGGGGUGGCAGGAACACAGUCUGAACCCAGGGCCAGCAUGUUCCACGAGGUCAUUGCCCACUUGGUAUGGGCUGCCGGGUGUUGGGCAUUGGUCCUUUGGGGAAAUGCAGUCAGUGGGUUUCCUGGGAAGUUUGGUAAGCUGCAAAAACAAAACAAAACAGCUUCAGUAUAAUGUCCACAGUUUCUUCCGUAGCUUUACAUCAGAUGGAAGGAAUGGGCUGUGGCAGUCAGGUGGGAAGAGGGGCAGCAGAUACAGCUUUUGGGGUAGGCCUAUAAUCCACUCAGCCCUGGCCCCCUCUCCAACAAUGACUGCACCCAGGAGAGAAUGGCCCUAAAAACCUUAUUUUUAUACAUGUGAGUAAAUAAACAGAUAUUUUUUUUACAAAAAUGACUUCCGAAUUCAUCAGUGCUUUGAUGUUAAAGGAAAAUAUUCCUCUGUAGUAAAUUAUUUAUUGGAAGAUGACUUUUUAAAAGCUGCUGUUUGCCCUGGCUUGGUUUCAUACACUGAUUUAUUUUUCUAUGCCAGGCAGUAGAAUCUCUCUGCCUCUGAGGAGCAGGCCGACCCCUCCAUGAUACCAGCAUUGACAUAGGAUGCGGCUAAGCCCUUUAAGCCCUAAGCCCUCAAGAUUUGAUUAAAAUUCCACCCGUGAGGAUCAGAGCAGUGGGGAAAGGGGAAAAGGAAGCCGGACUGCUCUCGGACUCUCACCUGCCUGUCCCUCAGGCUUCACCAACGCUGGCCUGUGAGUGCCGUGCUGGGAGUUUAGCAGCCCUGACGGGCAGGGACUGCCACACCGUCAGCCCCAUAGCAGACCCAGCCCCCAGGGAUGCUGAGGGCAGAGCUUGCCCUUUACAGUUAGCACUGGGGUUGCCGGUACUGAAAAGUGGCUGCCCUGAGUGUAGGGGUCCCGUGCUUGUACAGUUGCUGAGCUGUCCUCAGUUUCCCUGAGGCUGUGCCUAUAGAUGGGAGAGAUUUUUGAUUGAAAGGUGUGCUCGCUAUCUGCGUUAUAUUUUCUCUUUUCUCCCUGUUCCUGCAAAUCACAAAAGAGGCAGUGGCAAGUCUUGACCACCUGCCUCUCACUUGCUCCCAGACACACACACACACACACACACACACACACACACACACACACACACACACACACGUCAUCAAAAUGUUUCGAUGUGUGGUAUGUGCAGGGUUUUGUAGGGGGGUGGGGAGACUAAAAGUGAAUAUAACAAAGUGGAAGUAUACUUUUUAUAAUUUUUCUUUUUAAAACUUCGUGAAAUUAUUUCAGAUACAUAUUUUAGUGUUGAGGCAGAUUAGUAUAUAGCCACCAAAAAAGUAUUGUGUACAAUUUGGGGCAGUCACAAAAUUGUGUAUUUUAUGUUACAAUAAAGGCUUCCUCUGAA
Molecule: RNA transcript, 5137 nt
Organism: Zalophus californianus (California sea lion)
Lineage: Eukaryota; Metazoa; Chordata; Mammalia; Carnivora; Otariidae
Gene: STAT5B
Gene name: signal transducer and activator of transcription 5B
Exons: 20
Source: RefSeq, a predicted model, not a curated record